RNAcentral lists this ribosomal RNA (541 nucleotides) under uncultured archaeon. Its description in RNAcentral is "bacterial SSU rRNA". It matches the Rfam family "Archaeal small subunit ribosomal RNA", at positions 457 to 997 of the family's 1478-position model. The record is from RNAcentral.
GCCAGCAGCCGCGGUAACACCGGCGGCCCGAGUGGUGAUCGUGAUUAUUGGGUCUAAAGGGUCCGUAGCCGGUUUGGUCAGUCCUCCGGGAAAUCUGAUAGCUCAACUAUUAGGUCUUCGGGGGAUACUGCCAGACUUGGAACCGGGAGAGGUAAGAGGUACUACAGGGGUAGGAGUGAAAUCUUGUAAUCCCUGUGGGACCACCUGUGGCGAAGGCGUCUUACCAGAACGGGUUCGACGGUGAGGGACGAAAGCUGGGGGCACGAACCGGAUUAGAUACCCGGGUAGUCCCAGCCGUAAACGAUGCUCGCUAGGUGUCAGGCAUGGCGCGACCGUGUCUGGUGCCGCAGGGAAGCCGUGAAGCGAGCCACCUGGGAAGUACGGCCGCAAGGCUGAAACUUAAAGGAAUUGGCGGGGGAGCACAACAACGGGUGGAGCCUGCGGUUUAAUUGGACUCAACGCCGGACAACUCACCGGGGGCGACAGCAAUAUGUAGGCCAAGCUGAAGACUUUGCCUGAAUCGCUGAGGAGUGGUGCAUGG